AUGGCAGGUGCACCACCAAAACCGUGGGAACGUGCUGGGGCUGAGGGAACAUCCGGUCCAUCACCUUUCAAACCACCAUCUGGUGGCAGCACUAGCGAUGUCGUCGAAGCUUCUGGUACAGCUAAACCUGGAGAAACCAUUGCUGCUACAGAGAGGAACAUGUCUGCCAAUGUAAAUAACCCCAUCUCGAGGCCUAUGCCCCAACGUCCUUGGCAGCAAACAGGCUAUGGAAAUUCCUAUGGAGGAACAGGAUAUGGAUCCAAUAUGUAUAGUUCGGUUGGUGGAUAUGGCAGUACUUAUGGUAGCGGCGGGCUCUAUGGGAAUAGCAUGUACUCGAGCUAUGGAGGAGGUGGCGGCCUCUAUGGAGGUUCCGGGAUGUAUGGGGGAGGAAUGUAUAACAGUGGGAUGGGAAGCUCUUAUGGUGGUUAUGGUAUGGGUGGCAUGGGUGGCAUGGGUGGCAUGGGUGGCAUGGGUCCUUACGGCAAUCCGGAUCCAAAUUCAUUUGGCCCUCCCGCAGCACCACCGGGUUUCUGGGUGUCCUUCCUACGCGUGAUGCAUGGUGCUGUCAGUUUCUUUGGGCGAGUUGCAUUUCUCGUUGAACAAAACACACAAGCCUUCUAUUUAUUCAUUACUGCUAUGUUGCAGCUCUUUGAUCGGUCUGGAAUGCUUUACGGUGAGCUUGCGAGAUUUGUCUUACGCCUGCUCGGAGUCCGAACAAAGUCAAAGAAAGGCCGCGUUCAGGGUGCUGAGGCCCCUGCAUUCGAGGGACCUGGCCAGCAGCUUUUUGAGGCACCAAAAGCCGGCAACAACUCAUGGGACAAUGUUUGGGGAAACUAA
RNAcentral lists this ribosomal RNA (837 nucleotides) under Triticum aestivum (bread wheat). RNAcentral's name for it is "partial small subunit ribosomal RNA". The record is from RNAcentral. Lineage: Eukaryota; Viridiplantae; Streptophyta; Magnoliopsida; Poales; Poaceae.